UUCCUACGGGCGGCAGCAGUGGGGAAUAUUGCACAAUGGGCGAAAGCCUGAUGCAGCAACGCCGCGUGAGCGAUGAAGGCCUUUGGGUCGUAAAGCUCUGUCCUAGGGGACGAAACAAAUGACGGUACCCUUGGAGGAAGCCCCGGCUAACUACGUGCCAGCAGCCGCGGUAAUACGUAGGGGGCGAGCGUUAUCCGGAAUUAUUGGGCGUAAAGAGUACGUAGGUGGUCUUUUAAGCGCAGGGUUUAAGGCAAUGGCUUAACUAUUGUUCGCCCUGUGAACUGGAAGACUUGAGUGCAGGAGAGGAAAGCGGAAUUCCUAGUGUAGCGGUGAAAUGCGUAGAUAUUAGGAGGAACACCAGUGGCGAAGGCGGCUUUCUGGACUGUAACUGACACUGAGGUACGAAAGCGUGGGGAGCAAACAGGAUUAGAUACCCCGGUAGUCGUU
Molecule: ribosomal RNA, 447 nt
Filed under: uncultured Anaerovoracaceae bacterium
Lineage: Bacteria; Bacillati; Bacillota; Clostridia; Peptostreptococcales; Anaerovoracaceae
Description: bacterial SSU rRNA
Rfam family: Bacterial small subunit ribosomal RNA
Source: RNAcentral